UACGUAGGGUGCGCGCGUUAAUCGGCAUUACUGGGCGUAAAGCGUGCGCAGGCGGUUUUGUAAGUCAGAUGUGUAAUCCCCGAGCUCAACUUGGGAACUGCGUUUGAAACUACAAGACUAGAGUAGGGCAGAGGGGGGUAGAAUUCCACGUGUAGCAGUGAAAUGCGUAGAGAUGUGGAGGAAGACCAAUGGCGAAGGCAGCCCCCUGGGAUCAUACUGACGCUCAUGCACGAAAGCGUGGGGAGCAAACAGG
Molecule: ribosomal RNA, 253 nt
Filed under: uncultured bacterium
Lineage: Bacteria
Description: partial 16S ribosomal RNA
Rfam family: Bacterial small subunit ribosomal RNA
Source: RNAcentral